RNAcentral lists this unclassified non-coding RNA (231 nucleotides) under fungal sp. Its description in RNAcentral is "partial internal transcribed spacer region". The stretch from base 1 to 46 matches the Rfam family "Eukaryotic small subunit ribosomal RNA", at positions 1786 to 1831 of the family's 1831-position model. The record is from RNAcentral. Lineage: Eukaryota; Fungi.
AAGUCGUAACAAGGUAACCGUAGGUGAACCUGCGGUUGGAUCAUUAAAAAUCCAAGAGAAGUAGGUCGAAAGAUGCUACUACUCUAACUGGCCUUUGGGCCUUAUACCCCUUGUGAACUGUUGUUUUAUUUGGCUAGUGCUUUUGUGCUAGUCUAUUAUAAACGUUAUUUUAUUAGUCUUAUUCUAAGAUGUAAAUCUUUACAACUUUUGACAAUGGAUCUCUAGGCUCUU